AUGUUAAACAAACUUUAGUUCCAGGAUAAAUUAUGGUUGUGAUAUAUUAUACUUGUGUGUGUGUGUGUGUGUGUGUGUGUGCAUUACUAAAUUAAGUUUGCUAAUGUUUUGUUAAGGAUUUUUGUAUCUGUGUUCAUUAAGGAUUUUCAUCUGAGCUUUUCGUUUGUUGUGUUUGUUUUUAAUGUUUAUUCAUUUUUGAGAGAGAGAGAGAGAGAGAGAGAGAGAGAGAGAAUGAGUGGGGAGGGGUAGAGAGAGGGAGACACAGAAUCCAAGGCGGGCUCCAGGCUCUGAGCUGUAGGUGCAGAGCUGGAACUCACAAACUGGGAGACCAUGACCUGAGCCAAAGUCAGAUGCUUAACUGACUGAGCCACCCAGGUGCCCGUUUUUGUUUUUUAAUUUUUAUUUUAAGUAGCCUCCAUAUCCAAUGUGGGCUUGAACUCACUACCCUGAGGUCAAGACUCUUAACGCUCUACAGACAGAGCCAGUCAGGCACCCUCCUUUUUUUGUUUUCUUUUGUUUUGCGGUUUCUGUUUUUGCUACAAAAAGCUUUAUUGUUUCCAUGUGGUCCACAGCUUGGGAGGGCUCCAGGUGGUUAAACAGCUGCCCAGCCGCAGCAGGGAGAGGCUCGGGCAGAACCUGGCACCAGGGGGACCCCAGAGGGGCCGCUCAAAGGCUGCUGGACUUCAGAGGCUCCUAGUUGUGCUUCGGGGUGAUCUUUUCCAAGAGAUGCUCGUCCUGCGCGGACCUCGGGGAGAUGAGUUAGGUGGCCGUCCGUCUUCUUGAUGAGUUUCACCUCCUCAUCCAGGAAGUGGAUCUCCAGGAAGUCUCAGAGCUGGCGGUCUGCGAGACAGAACCCAGAGCCUGCCCAUCCCAAAGGGGCGGGUUUAGAUUCUUCUCCAGAGCGCGGCAGCUGUCAUGGCGUCCAGGGUUUUAUUCCACUCAUCCCAGGAGGCCUUCUGCACGUCCCGAAAAGGGUGCCAACGCUGCGCGGGUCUUGCAUCUUCAAGAGAUGCUCAGGGCCCUUGUGCUUCUCCUCGGCCGACUCCGGGAAGAAGCGGCCCACGCACUCCAGAGCCACAUCCUUGCGGUAGAAAUAGAAGCCUAGACAGCUUGGCCCAGAAUCGCAAACAAUCACACUACUUGCUCCUUAAAGAUCCACUGCUUUCUAAACAGUUCAACUCUAGAAUAUCUGCACAAACUGGAACUCCUGCUUUCCUGACAGCUGAAGCUCCUGUCACCGGAACUCUCCUAAAAUCCGCCAGCAGAUUUCCGAGGCUUUUUACCGAAAACUAUGACCGGUUUGCUUUGGAAACACUAGGUUGGUUCUGGAAUCAGUCUGAGGGUCCGUAUGCGGCAAAUGAUGGGUUUGUUCUACUACCCCUCAAACCCCCUUGUGAUUGCCUUUUCCCUUUUCUCGUCCUGAGACGCUCUGGUGUCCUUCAAGUGCAGCCAUAGGCUCCGCUCUUGGCAUUCACCGCGUGCCUUAAUUGUAUGACAUUAAAUCAAGGUCCGCUGUGAACACGGAGGGCAGAGUCUGAUCUUGAUCCGGAAAGUAACUGACCCACUGCGAACACAUCACUUCUCCUGCCCUUCCCCCUACGCCGAGCUCUGAGUCCCUACAACUCCCCCAGAGUCGUAACUCAUAAGCCGGGCUCCUGUCUCAGCUCGCCUCCUGCAACAGCUGCCAGAGCCGCUGCUAAUUAGUCUGUUCGGUGGAAGUGUAGACGAUGCAUGUGUCUGCGUAUACAUAUGCAUAUAUCUGCAUGCCAUUUACAGCACACCUAAAAACAUACAUACCCUAUAAAUCUAGUUUUCAAAUGACGGCGUGGAUCGAAGUUAAUUACCCCCCUGGUACAGAUCUAAUUUCGUAAUCGUGUUAUUUUCCUGAAGGCAAUUAACCGAGUUGGUUCGCCCUGCAUCCCUUCUAAGUCACUUGUAAGGGAUGGCAGGUUUUAAGGACCGCGCCAUUGCAUGUUCUGGUGCAGAAAGCUUUGUCAGUCACUUCUUGCUGUUGGGAAUGAGAUCUAGCGUAUAGAAGGGAAAGUAAUCAUGCGUGUGUGUGUGUGUGUGUGUGUGUGUGUGUAAGAUAAACACGCAGAUAUGCCUAGGCUCUGUGUCCUCUGAUAACGUCACCGUGGUUUCGGUUGGGAGGUUUGGGGAAGAGAUGAGAGGCCAAGGGCGGGCUGGGUCGUCUUUCUUUGUAAUGCGGAAAAAUUAACUCAACCGCACCUGCCUAGUCCCGAGAGAGCUGGGCGGCCCAUCUGGUCUGGCUACAGCUUUGGUGCAGAGAGAAAAGGCAGCUCGCUAAGGCUUCCCCACUGCCUGGGAGCGCGGACCUCGGGUCUGGGCCCGGCUGGGGGUUAUGGCUCAGAACAGCGCAGCCGACGCGCUCUCCUCAGACUGCGGCAAGAGUCUGGAGGCUGGAGGAACCUGGGCCGGGCGGAGGGAGGGCGAGCAGGAGAGAGGAAGGGGUGAGGGGAGUUGACCUCUACGGGCGGAGCCCUCUGCGCAGCGGGCAGGAGCUGGCGGGCGCAGCGGCUCUUUUCGCGGCGUCCCCUACAGCGCGGUCGGCCCAAGGGAAAGGCCCGCUCCGACUCCUGCGUCCGAGGAAGCGAGGAUCCUCAGCCACCGCAGUCCCUGGGCGGCGUAGAUACCGGCUGCGGCUGGAGGGAGCGCCGAGAGCCAGUCCAGCGCAGAUUCCCCAGCACGCGCUUCUGAAAAACAGAAUCACAGUGCAGCAUUAGAGAGGGAGAGAGGUGGGGGGAGGGGGAGUUUGGGGACAGAGGAACAGGAGGCGGGAGGGAGCAGACGAGGGAGGUAAGGUGACGGGGAGACAGGACCCCAGACGGCGGGCUGCGACCUCUGUCCUCAGGCUUCAGCCCGGCGCAGAGGGGCCCGCGGCGCGCGGAGCCCGCGGGGCGCAGCCCGGGGGGCGGCGCGGUGGCGGAGCACGCAGGUCCUGGCUGCGGAAGCCGCGAGGUGGGGGCCAGACGCUGCGGCACCGCAGCUGCCGGAGAAGAGACGUCGGGAGCUGGAACUGUCAAUACGCGUCCGCAGAAGAUCAUCCGGCGCAGUCCAGCAGUUCCCGCAUUCUGUGCUCCCUUGCCCCAGCCUCACCCCUUCCCCCAGACCACACUCUACAUCCGCACUCUCCAAUCCCCACCCCUUCUUGGCUUAGGACCCCGCAAACUGCAAGACCCGCGCGUCCCAGCAAGAAAAUCGAAACGAUCGAUGAAAGAAUUACAUAUACACAUAGCCCUAGAAAUCCGAAGGAGAAAGACCUACUGGCUCUGAUCAAACCUGGAGAGGACCAAAGCGUUUUCAAUUGCUGUUGAGCGCCUUCGCGGAGGAAAGAGGAGGCUGAGAGGCUUCCGUGGUAUAAGGUGCUUUAGGGUGGGAGGUGGGGGUGGGUGGGGGUGGGUCGGAGCGGUCCGGUCUUUCCCCCUCGCUUGCUGAUCCAGAAUUAGGGAUUAAUGGCUCGCUCCAGCCAAACAAAUAAGGCAUCUGCCUUCAGCACAAGAGGAUUACACGGGCUGCUGACGUCACCAGUCAGACAGAUGUUGGCUCCCAAAGUCCUGAGCAGCUCGCUGUGUCCUUGAAACCAAAGAGCCGCAGAAGGCGCUCAGCCCCCAAGAACUGCGCCUGGGUACAGCAAAGGGCGAGUGCCCUGCCCUUGCCUAUACCCCCCUGUCACCAACACAGAGGUCCAAAGACAGCCCCCUAAGACGUCGCGCCCCCAGUCUCUCUGGCCCUUCCUCACAGCCCUCCCGUCAAUGCUCAGGCUUGCUCAAGGCAAGCCAAAGUCACCAUUUUCGGUUGCCUCUCCCUAAAAUGGAGACAAGAGUCGACACCUCCUGGACAUUUCAUCUAGAUCCUUAAUUCUAAGCUCUUGGGCUCUUGUUCACUCACACAUGGUUGGCCAAGUAACUAUAGAAUAAGCACCUUAGGCCGGACAGAGCCCACGCUCCAGAUGAGGGGCAGCCUUUUAAUUAUGUGCGCAAGCAACAGAGCAGGGUUUAUCCGCAUCUCUCCUCCUCGCCUCUGCCGCCAUCCUUUCCCCAGGCCAAGGUUUAGGUUUAUGCUUAAUCUUAUCACGAGUGCCAUCCCGGACGAAUGUACCUUUCUAAACAAUGACCUGUUCUCAACCGAACUCUGUGUACCAACCAGAGCCCCGAGUCACCUCUCGGUGAGCCACGGGGACCUCACCAUGGUCCUGAUCAUUGCACAUUCUUUGCAAAUACUUUGAAAAAGGUUUCCAAAAACAACUAAACAAAAAGGUGUGUGUGUGUGUGUGUGUGUGUGUGUGUAUGUGUGUGUCUAAAACGUUUAUAUCAUCUGAUUUUGUACAUUCAGGUGACUGCACUUUUAUUUUACAGCCAAAUCAAAGAUCAAUAAUUAAUUCAUAGACCCUAAACUCUGUUUAAUUUGAUAUCAUUUUAAAAUUUAAAUUUAAAUAGAAACUAUUUCCAUUUCCCAAACCUGCCUAUUAUUUCUGCUUAUAUGGUUUCCCAGUCCUUUACAGGUCACACUGAAGUCAGGUUAUGAAAUAAGCCAAAAGAUCACAUAAAAUUGGGAAUUUAAAUGAGCAAUUUUGAAUGUGUUAUGUAAUUCACGAAUGAAAUGGUUUCAAGUCAAGUUCAAUUUUGUAAAGGAAUAAAGGGAAUUCAAAUACCA
This 4674-nucleotide long non-coding RNA is filed under the name Felis catus (domestic cat). Its description in RNAcentral is "lncRNA (ENSFCAG00000053605.1)". The stretch from base 1456 to 1535 matches the Rfam family "mir-124 microRNA precursor family". Lineage: Eukaryota; Metazoa; Chordata; Mammalia; Carnivora; Felidae. The record is from RNAcentral.